RNAcentral lists this transfer RNA (75 nucleotides) under Labilithrix sp. RNAcentral describes it as "tRNA-Glu". It matches the Rfam family "tRNA". From Rfam's summary of the family: Transfer RNA (tRNA) molecules are approximately 80 nucleotides in length. Their secondary structure includes four short double-helical elements and three loops (D, anti-codon, and T loops). Further hydrogen bonds mediate the characteristic L-shaped molecular structure. tRNAs have two regions of fundamental functional importance: the anti-codon, which is responsible for specific mRNA codon recognition, and the 3' end, to which the tRNAs corresponding amino acid is attached (by aminoacyl-tRNA synthetases). tRNAs cope with the degeneracy of the genetic code in two manners: having more than one tRNA (with a specific anti-codon) for a particular amino acid; and 'wobble' base-pairing, i.e. permitting non-standard base-pairing at the 3rd anti-codon position. The record is from RNAcentral. Lineage: Bacteria; Pseudomonadati; Myxococcota; Polyangiales; Labilitrichaceae.
ACCCCCGUCAUCUAGCGGCAAGGAGCUCCGUCUUUCAAUCGGAGGGCGUCGGUUCGAAUCCGAUCGGGGGUGCCA